CCGGCGCACGGGUGAGUAACACGUAUCCAACCUGCCGUCUACUCUUGGACAGCCUUCUGAAAGGAAGAUUAAUACAAGAUGGCAUCAUGAGUCCGCAUGUUCACAUGAUUAAAGGUAUUCCGGUAGACGAUGGGGACGCGUUCCAUUAGAUAGUAGGCGGGGUAACGGCCCACCUAGUCUUCGAUGGAUAGGGGUUCUGAGAGGAAGGUCCCCCACAUUGGAACUGAGACACGGUCCAA
This 239-nucleotide ribosomal RNA is filed under the name uncultured bacterium. RNAcentral's name for it is "partial 16S ribosomal RNA". It matches the Rfam family "Bacterial small subunit ribosomal RNA", at positions 95 to 334 of the family's 1533-position model. The record is from RNAcentral.